UACGUAGGGUGCGAGCGUUGUCCGGAAUUAUUGGGCGUAAAGGGCUCGUAGGCGGUUUGUCACGUCGGGGAGUGAAAACUCGGGGGCUUAACCCCGAGCCUGCUUCUGAUACGGGGCAGGCUAGAGUUCGGUAGGGGAGACUGGAAUUCCUGGGUGUAGCGGUGAAAUGCGCAGAGUAUCAGGAGGAACACCCGGGUGGCGGAAGGGCGGGGUCUCGUGGGGCCGAAUACUGACGCUGAGGAGCGAAAGCGUGGGGAGCGAACG
RNAcentral lists this ribosomal RNA (264 nucleotides) under uncultured bacterium. Its description in RNAcentral is "partial 16S ribosomal RNA". It matches the Rfam family "Bacterial small subunit ribosomal RNA", at positions 524 to 774 of the family's 1533-position model. The record is from RNAcentral.